This 433-nucleotide ribosomal RNA is filed under the name uncultured bacterium. RNAcentral describes it as "partial 16S ribosomal RNA". It matches the Rfam family "Bacterial small subunit ribosomal RNA", at positions 29 to 507 of the family's 1533-position model. The record is from RNAcentral.
AACGAACGCUGGCGGCAUGCCUAACACAUGCAAGUCGAACGAGACCUUCGUGUCUAGUUGCGCACGGGGGCGUAACGCGGGGGAACCUGCCCUUAGGUUCGGAAUAACUCCCCGAAAGGGGUGCUAAUACCGGAGAAUGUCUUCGGACCAAAGAUUUAUCGCCUUUGGGUGGGCCCGUGUUGGAUUAGCUAGUUGGUAGGGUAAAAGCCUACCAAGGAGACGAUGCAUAGCUGGUCUGAGAGGAUGAUAAGCCACACUGGGAAUGAGACACGGCCCAGACCCCUAGGGGACGCAGCAGUGUGGAAUAUUGGACACUGGGCGAAAGUCUGAUACAGCAAUGCCGCGUGAGUGAUGCAGGCCUUAGGGUUGUACAGCUCUUUUAGACGGGACGAUAAUGACAGUACCGGGAGAAUAAGCACCGGCUAACUCCGUG